RNAcentral lists this long non-coding RNA (2718 nucleotides) under Salmo salar (Atlantic salmon). Its description in RNAcentral is "lncRNA (ENSSSAG00000087755.1)". Lineage: Eukaryota; Metazoa; Chordata; Actinopteri; Salmoniformes; Salmonidae. The record is from RNAcentral.
CCUGGUUGCAGGAGUCUGGAUAUUCUGCUUAUUCUCUCCUGAUUCUAGAAACCUCCAAUCAGGAUUUUGGGGAAAUUAUUGAAAGUUCCCCGGAAUUUUGCAACCCUAGAUGUCAACUUUAAAACGCCUUCUCCAGAACCGAUAGACUGAUCGGUACCAAAUGUGGUAUAUAGCACCUAUAGAUGCACAUCUUCAAACACACGUUUUAUAAGAGCUCAAACAAUAUGGCCGCAAUAAGCCAAUGAGCUUGCAUGAGUGGUUUUUCCUGUCCAACAGCGCCCCUCAUGCGGCCAAACUGAACAAUACUUUAGAUUAGCUAGACUCAUAUCCCUUAGCAUGUGUGCCAAAUUUCAUCACUCUGAGUCAAACAGAUUGAGAUGUAUAGCGCCACCGUGUGGCCGAUCUGAAUGUGCUUACAUAUGUUGAGUGUUGACCGUGUUUGGAAAGUUUGGUUACGAUACGAAUAUCCGUGUCUAAUUAGCAUUAAUGUGCCAGACAACCCCCACAUUAAUGUUUAUUGGUCAGUAGUGACCAUGGGGUUUGACAUAUAGUCUGCAAAAUAUUGCAUUGAGAGACCUUGGUCCAUAGAUGACACAUCAAUGUACAUCCAGAUCGGCCCAGUGGUUCCGGACGAGAUGUCAUUUAAGUGUUAUUCACAAAAUUCAAAAUGGCGGAAAAUCCAUCAUGACAGACCUUGGGGAAAAUGUGUUCCUUGUGAGAAGAGGGACCUAUGCACUGAAUUUCAGGACUCUAGGUCAUAUGGGGUGAGGGGCGUGACCCUUCCAAGUUAGCCAUUUCAAUCACCUGUUAUAGCACCACCUUGUGGCCAAUUGGAAUGGCUUGGCACCAGAGAGUGUAGACUAUGGGCCUUUACCAUGUUUCACCCUCUUCGGCCUUACCAUCUCACGGGAAUUUGAAUGUUAACUUUCUUCGCAAGAAGAAGCGGUAUAAUAAUAAUGAACGCCAACAAAUACAACAGGGUUUGCCCAGCUUCACUGGCUUGAACCCUUAAUAAAAGAUAAGAACAGCAACAUAGUAAAUGUCUCAGCAGAAUAGAAUAAACAUCUCUCCAAGAUCAGAUGUCUAACCACAUAGUGGGGUGUAGAACUCUGCUGUUUCAUCUAGCCUUUAAUAUGUGAUAAGAUUGGAGGAGAGAGGAAGGUGAGGAGGAUUAGCUGGCGACAGAGAGCUGUGGUUUCCUCCCUCCAUCUAUUAUGCAGAGAUGAAAAGUAAUUCUGAGUAUUUUUUCACUCUUACUGAGAUUAUAAAGACAGUCAAUUGACAGUCUUCCUCAUGGCGCUGACUGAAUAAGAGAUGGGAGGUGAAGAGUCUUCCUCAUGGCGCUGACUGAAUAAGAGAUGGGAGGUGAAGAGUCUUCCUCAUGGCGCUGACUGAAUAAGAGAUGGGAGGUGAAGAGUCUUCCUCAUGGCGCUGACUGAAUAAGAGAUGGGAGGUGAAGAGUCUUCCUCAUGGCGCUGACUGAAUAAGAGAUGGGAGGUGAAGAGUCUUCCUCAUGGCGCUGACUGAAUAAGAGAUGGGAGGUGAAGAGUCUUCCUCAUGGCGCUGACUGAAUAAGAGAUGGGAGGUGAAGAGUCUUCCUCAUGGCGCUGACUGAAUAAGAGAUGGGAGGUGGAGAGAAUUGAGGUUUUAACUUAUUUCCUGUAUGUUAAAAUACUGUGUAUUUAAGUAGACUAACUAGUGUAAUAAUGCCAUCAUCCAGGUUCCAGUUGAUGAUCAGGUCGAUAUGUUAAGUGACUCUUUCUAGAAUGACCAUGUCAUACUUGUUCCUUUCUCUAUGAUUGGGCUAGUGUUACAAUGUCUUCAUCACAGUUCUAGUAGAUGACAGUCUAGAUGGGGAAAGUCACUCUCUGACUCAAGUCACUAUUUCUAGUGAGACCAGUUCCUUUUAUGACUGGUCUCAGAAUCACCAACUUUUAAGCCUGGAGACAACUGAGACAUGGAUUGUGUGUUUGUGCCUUUCAGAGGGUGAAUGGGCAAGACAAAAUAUUUAAGUGCCUUUGAACAGGGUAUGGGAGUAGGUGUCAGGCGGUUUGGUUUGAGUGUGUCAAGAACUACAAUGGUGCAGGGGUUUUUCAUGCUCAACAGUUUUCAGUGUGUAUCAAGAAUGGUCCACCACUCAAAGGACAUCCAACCAACUUGAACUGUGGGAAGCAUUGGAGUCAACAUGGGCCAGCAUUCCUGUAGAACACUUUCCACACCUUGUAGAGUCUAUGCCCCAACGAUUGAGGCUGUUCUGAGGGCAAAAGGGGGUGAAACUCAAUAUUAGGAAGUUGUUCCUAAUGUUUUGUAAACUCAGUGUAGGGUGCCACCUGUCAACCAUUGACACAGCCAUCAGCACAACAACCUAACAAGAGAAGUUAAGAAGCUUGAUACUGUUCACUACGGAACUAUAGAACGAAAAUAGAAAGCUGAGAAGGUCUAGAAUGUUCUGAGAAUGUGAUCGCUUGUCGAUUAAAAUAAGAACUUGUUUGUUAACGUGACAUUUGGAAUCAACCUUAACCCAGUUCUGUUGUGUGAUCCAGCCAGCCUGACAGACUUCAGCCUGACAGAGAACAGUCAGACACAUUACUGUCUGACUGUUGCUACAUAGAACACCACCUUUAAACUGGGAUGGCUGCAAAGAAAACAUGUUGACUUACAGUUGAAGUCGGAAGUUUACAUACACAAUUCCUGACAUUUAACCCUAGUAAAAAUUCC